Gallus gallus (chicken) is the source of this 308-nucleotide long non-coding RNA. NCBI's taxonomy places the organism in Eukaryota, Metazoa, Chordata, Aves, Galliformes, Phasianidae. The record is from Ensembl.
UAAAGGAAAAGGCAGUGCCCAGGCAGCUUGUUUAUAUCACCUCCGAGAGCUGAUGGCGUGCUUAUCGCACACAGCACAAGGCUCAGUUGUCCAGACAAUCAUCUAAUUGUCUUUACUUGGUGGUGAAAGAUGAAUCCUCAUUCCUGAAAACAAAAGAGCUAAUACAAAAUGGAGGGAAGGCUGGAGAAGGCAAUGGGGAAUCAAUAGAGCUGCUGUGGGGCUGGAUGGCUUACAUGGGUCAAACCUUUGCCUGGAUGUGACAUAGCCAACCCUUGCACCAAGGAAUCUGUAAUAUAAGCAGAUGAAAG